GAUGAACGCUGGCGGCGUGCCUAAUACAUGCAAGUCGAGCGAACGGACGAGAAGCUUGCUUCUCUGAUGUUAGCGGCGGACGGGUGAGUAACACGUGGAUAACCUACCUAUAAGACUGGGAUAACUUCGGGAAACCGGAGCUAAUACCGGAUAAUAUUUUGAACCGCAUGGUUCAAAGGUGAAAGACGGUCUUGCUGUCACUUAUAGAUGGAUCCGCGCUGCAUUAGCUAGUUGGUAAGGUAACGGCUUACCAAGGCAACGAUGCAUAGCCGACCUGAGAGGGUGAUCGGCCACACUGGAACUGAGACACGGUCCAGACUCCUACGGGAGGCAGCAGUAGGGAAUCUUCCGCAAUGGGCGAAAGCCUGACGGAGCAACGCCGCGUGAGUGAUGAAGGUCUUCGGAUCGUAAAACUCUGUUAUUAGGGAAGAACAUAUGUGUAAGUAACUGUGCACAUCUUGACGGUACCUAAUCAGAAAGCCACGGCUAACUACGU
Molecule: ribosomal RNA, 496 nt
Filed under: uncultured bacterium
Lineage: Bacteria
Description: partial 16S ribosomal RNA
Rfam family: Bacterial small subunit ribosomal RNA
Source: RNAcentral